This 301-nucleotide ribosomal RNA is filed under the name uncultured bacterium. Its description in RNAcentral is "partial 16S ribosomal RNA". It matches the Rfam family "Bacterial small subunit ribosomal RNA", at positions 509 to 807 of the family's 1533-position model. The record is from RNAcentral.
CAGUCGCCGCGGGAAUACAGAGGGUGCGAGCGUUAAUCGGAUUUACUGGGCGUAAAGCGUGUGUAGGUUGUUGUUCAAGUCAGUUGUGAAAUCCCUGGGCUCAACCUGGGAACUGCUUCUGAGACUGAACGACUAGAGUACGGUAGAGGGUGGUGGAAUUUCCGGUGUAGCGGUGAAAUGCGUAGAUAUCGGAAGGAACAUCAAUGGCGAAGGCAGCCACCUGGGCCUGUACUGACACUGAGACACGAAAGCGUGGGGAUCAAACAGGAUUAGAUACCCCAGUAGUCCCUGUCUCUUAUAC